This 440-nucleotide ribosomal RNA is filed under the name uncultured bacterium. RNAcentral describes it as "partial 16S ribosomal RNA". It matches the Rfam family "Bacterial small subunit ribosomal RNA", at positions 338 to 795 of the family's 1533-position model. The record is from RNAcentral.
CCUACGGGUGGCAGCAGUAGGGAAUAUUGCUCAAUGGGGGAAACCCUGACGCAGCAACGCCGCGUGGAGGAUGAAGGUUUUCGGAUUGUAAACUUCUUUUGUUAGAGAAGAUAAUGGCGGUGUCUAAUGAAUAAGCACCCGCUAAUGCCGUGCCAGCAGCCGCGGUAAUACGGAGGGUGCAAGCGUUACUCGGAAUCACUGGGCGUAAAGAGCGCGUAGGCGGGAUAGCAAGUCAGAGGUGAAAGCCUAAGGAUUAACCAUAGAACUGCAUUUGAAACUGUUAUUCUAGAGUAUGGGAGAGGAGAGUGGAAUUCCAGGUGUAGGAGUGGAAUCCGUAGAUAUCUGGAGGAACAUCAGUGGCGAAGGCGACUAUCUGGCACAUAACUGACGCUGAGGAGCGAAAGCGUGGGUAGCAAACAGGAUUAGAUACCCCUGUAGUC